CCAGAAAUUGGAAGACCUUUAUACUUAUCCAUGCAAAUCCUCUCUCAUUAACAUAUUUUUGGCUUCUAAUCUUUCAGACAUCCACUUUUGGCCUGUUUCGGAUAUCACACUGAAAUGUGUGAGACUUCCUUUUGGCAGAAAGCAUGCCGUAUUUCCAAUGCGACAUCUGCAGUGAUUUCUUACACUUCUAUUUACUAUUUUUCUGUUUCUGUUUAACCGUUCAAUGUUUGCUUUUAUUUCUUGCCAUUUAAAAAAAUUCAUUCGCUUUGCUUGUACUAAUGUGAGAAAUGUAUUCCUGAUCUCUUAAUUAUGUCAAAAUCGGAAUCAAUUGUACGUUCACAACUUUGUAUAUGCUCGACUUGUAAAACAGGCCGAUAUAUUCAGUUGUGUAUGUUCGUUGUCUUUCCUUUGAUGUCUUUGAGCUAUGGGAGGAUACUGUACUUCACUUUUUCCUUUAAGUUGACAGGUUUGCCGUCGUAGAGUUCCCCGAGGAGGACUGCAGCUUGGCACUUGUUCACGGUUCGUGGUUGAAUCCAAAAAGAAAUAGGACAUAUUGGCCUACUUUGAAAAAUUCAUCGCAGCGGCGUAGAGCCACUGUUGAGGGUGCUGCACCAUCUCCUAGCUAGACACAAGCCAACUGUGUGGCGAAAUCCUGGGCUGGUAAGGUCGCACAAUUGCUUGUGGGAUUUCCUAUUGUAAAGGUUUCCUUUUUCAGACACUUACGAAAAGGCAUGUGAGAAGCAGAAUUUCCUGCAAUAUCAUUCGGACAUGAGCUGCGAAGAGGAACUGGGAUGCGGAAAAAGAAAAAAAUGAAGUGCCUUGGCUUCUGAUUACAGCAGUGAGCAAGACACGACUGACGACUCGGGUGAUGACUCAAACUAUCGCCCUCCAAGGCCGCCAACACCACCUCAACUGGUAACAAACAUUGGUGGCUACGACUCAGCUGCUGCCCACGAGUCAUUCAAGAUGCCUGGACGACACCGAAAGAAACGCUCUGCAGGUGCAUCUGCGAGUCCUAGGCCUUCGUUCGGAAGAGCUGGUGGAUUCGAAACCGAAAGUGUGCCAUCGAGCCUUCAUGCUGGUGAAUGCCAAUUCUUCUUUCACAACGACACUUUUAUUGGACUUGUUCAAAUAUGCAUUUGUACUUUCCAGGACAGUCACCUUGCAUGCUUCCAGAGUUAUUUCUUUCUGGAGCUUGCAAUAAGGAUAAUUAAUGCAUGGUGUCACUCUCAAUUUCAGGCCCAUCUACCACUUCCUCAGGAUCAAGAACGGAUCCGCAAGUGCUUGGUAUGAUGUCAAUGUUUGACCUCUCAUGUUUGCUUUAAAUGGCGUGGUUGGUAGAUCUUGUCAACCAGAAUUUUGAGCAGUGUGACACAGCACACAGAUAAGACGCAUAGGAUGAAAUGCCGCCUGGGCUUGUUUUGUGUCAUGUGGCACUGUUCAACAUUCUGCUGUUUGUAAUGAGCGAUUUCUUGCCAGCAUACUUCUUCACUUUUUCAAUACACAUGCAUUGCUAAAUGAGGCACUGCUGACUUUCAAUAGUUCUGUAUGAGCAUUGCAGAUAUGUUGACAUAACUGAUCUUGAUGAGAAAAUAUUUUUUUCAACCUUUAUGGAGAGGAUAUUGUCCACCCUUAAUACAAUUAAGGUUGUGCAACAGGCGCACACACAGCUCUUGACAGAGCUGAAGAAUAAUGCUGAAGAAGCAUGCCCAGAGAACCAAAACCUUCCUGAUCAGCUGCCAUUUUUGACCACAAGAGACAUCCUUGAUUGGGAUGCUGAACUUGGGGUGAACAAAGAAGCUAAGCUUCGAAUGGUAAUGAAGCUGUUUGCCUUAAUUUUCUUACUGUUUCCCGCAAAACGGGGGGCAAGCUCGUUUUUUUUUUUUUUUUUUUUUU
Dermacentor andersoni is the source of this 1896-nucleotide non-coding RNA. The record is from RefSeq and is a predicted model, not a curated record. NCBI's taxonomy places the organism in Eukaryota, Metazoa, Arthropoda, Arachnida, Ixodida, Ixodidae.